AUUUUCAAUAAGUUUCGAUUCUCAUAGAUUUUUCUGCAUUAUAUUUAAUCAUAUAAAUCUUCUAGAAGCAUGACCCACACUCUUUGGGUCCCAUAUAUCAUACAUCCCAUCACAUAAUUUCAUCCACUAAUAUGUUUCCACUCACUUGACAUCUUUCCACCGUCCAACCACCACCAACACAAUAUUAUUCUGCGUGAGAUCAAACCAAGGAAGCAAG
This 217-nucleotide long non-coding RNA is filed under the name Sorghum bicolor (sorghum). RNAcentral's name for it is "long non-coding RNA (SBIC_LNC004978)". The record is from RNAcentral. Lineage: Eukaryota; Viridiplantae; Streptophyta; Magnoliopsida; Poales; Poaceae.